Molecule: non-coding RNA, 102 nt
Filed under: Oxobacter pfennigii
Lineage: Bacteria; Bacillati; Bacillota; Clostridia; Eubacteriales; Clostridiaceae
Description: Guanine sequence
Rfam family: Purine riboswitch aptamer
About the family: Riboswitches are metabolite binding domains within certain messenger RNAs that serve as precision sensors for their corresponding targets. Allosteric rearrangement of mRNA structure is mediated by ligand binding, and this results in modulation of gene expression. A class of riboswitches that selectively recognises guanine and becomes saturated at concentrations as low as 5 nM.
Source: Rfam by way of RNAcentral
AAAUAUUAUGUGAAUGCUAUCCAUAUAAUCCUGAUAAUAUGGUUCGGGAGUCUCUACUGAGUAACCGUAAAUUACUCGUCUAUGGGUGUCCAAGUGUUUUUU